This 253-nucleotide ribosomal RNA is filed under the name uncultured bacterium. Its description in RNAcentral is "partial 16S ribosomal RNA". It matches the Rfam family "Bacterial small subunit ribosomal RNA", at positions 524 to 776 of the family's 1533-position model. The record is from RNAcentral.
UACGUAGGUGGCAAGCGUUGUCCGGAUUUACUGGGCGUAAAGAGCGCGCAGGCGGUCGUUCAAGUCGCGUGUGAAAGCCCCCGGCUCAACUGGGGAGGGUCACGCGAUACUGAUCGACUCGAAGGCAGGAGAGGGUAGUGGAAUUCCCGGUGUAGUGGUGAAAUGCGUAGAUAUCAGGAGGAACGCCGGCGGCGAAAGCGACUCUCUGGCCUGUAACUGACGCUGAGGCGCGAAAGCUAGGGGAGCAAACGGG